Manis javanica (Malayan pangolin) is the source of this 880-nucleotide long non-coding RNA. RefSeq lists it as uncharacterized. The record is from RefSeq and is a predicted model, not a curated record. Lineage: Eukaryota; Metazoa; Chordata; Mammalia; Pholidota; Manidae.
UUGACGUCUAGUAACGUGAGAGGAGGCAUAGUUCACGACUCAGUCUUUCAACGGGUCCUGGGCUUUCUCGGGCGUUAAAGCCAGGGAAAUCGCGGGGGUAGGGUCGGGUCACCCCAGGGGAGGCGCAGGCAGAGGUCAUCGCAGAGUGCGUGCGGGGCAGCGCUGCGGCGGGGCCGGAGCCUUCUCCAGCUCCUGGGCGAAACCUGCGUUUCCAGUCCUUCCAGAUGGACUCCAGCAAGCAUCCGAAAAAGAAAACUCAAGUUAGGAGGAGUUGCGUUCAAUUAAGAAUGGCGGUGACUCCUCCCGGGUUGUGCCGGUUCCUCCGCUGGGCACCUGGCCACACAAAUGGAGGCGCACGGGCUGGCGAUGCUGUCUGAAGCUCGGAUGCUGUGUCCCCUAAAAAGGAAACUGAGGCCUCCAGCAUUAGAACAACUUCAGGGAUGUCAGCAAUGAGCUGAGGCACAGCAUUUCCUGUUAGACUAAUCUCACUCCCAAUUUUUGAAAGUCUCCUAGGUUAGUGUUUUCUUCAACUUUAGUUGCAUCAAAAUCCCUGAAUGGGGACCUUUGCUAAAGGAAAAAUUCCUAGUCCUGCUUCCACGGAAUCCUAUUUGGUCGGUGUGGGUAAAAUUGUAAUAUUUCCAGAAUAUCUCGCCUGGCUUUAGUACAUCUACGUAUCAGUAAGCAUUCAGAGGUGGAAAGAAACGUGCAUUUGCAUCAUUCCUUGGGGGUGGAGAAAAGUUCAUCUCCAUAUCAAUGCGUUAGGAUGGCUUAUCUGCACCGGAGAGGGGAGGGGAGGGGCGGUUUUUUGCUGCUGCUUGAACAGGAGAGAGAGAAGAGCUGGACUGGAUUUUUGUAAGCAAUAAACGGGUUUUAAACUUUA